AUACGUAGGUGGCAAGCGUUAUCCGGAUUUACUGGGUGUAAAGGGCGUGUAGGCGGGUCUGUAAGUCAGAUGUGAAAUUCCCGGGCUUAACUCGGGAGGGUCAUCUGAAACUACGGAUCUUGAGUACUGGAGAGGAUAGUGGAAUUCCUAGUGUAGCGGUAAAAUGCGUAGAUAUUAGGAGGAACACCAGUGGCGAAGGCGGCUAUCUGGACAGUAACUGACACUGAGGCACGAAAGCGUGGGGAGC
Molecule: ribosomal RNA, 247 nt
Filed under: uncultured bacterium
Lineage: Bacteria
Description: partial 16S ribosomal RNA
Rfam family: Bacterial small subunit ribosomal RNA
Source: RNAcentral